AUGUCCGGUCUGGACACCAUACUUGUGCGAAGGGACGACAUCGUGGGACCCGAGUCGAUCAAUGAGCUCGACAUCAUGGUACGGAGGUACUGCAGGAAUCAGAGAGUCCCCGGGCUGGUUGAGGCGAGCUAUUCCACUUCACCUGCCACAGCUUCGCACAGUCGGUCGUGUGCCGCACACCCUCCAUGCUCGCAGUGUCCCACCGACGAUAGACAUGUUACGGUGGGCUACCUCCGGACGGCGACGGGUCAUGUCAAACGGCGUGCGCGUUUAAUUUCAAGCAAGUGGUACACGCGCGCAGUAUCCCUGCUUCUUCUCCUCCCACGGGCUGGAACAUUCAGCCGAGCUGACCGCGACACCUUUGUCCCAUGGAAAAACCGGGGAAUAGUGCCCGACAGGUUCGUGUUUGAUUAG
Molecule: ribosomal RNA, 414 nt
Filed under: Triticum aestivum (bread wheat)
Lineage: Eukaryota; Viridiplantae; Streptophyta; Magnoliopsida; Poales; Poaceae
Description: partial small subunit ribosomal RNA
Source: RNAcentral